AAAACAUAGCAGACAGUGUGUGUAAUAUUAAUCACUCGCACAGGUUUGUUUAAUGUUAAUACACUUAAUAUUUACUUUUGAUGUCAGCUCUGUAGCUCAUUUCUAAUUACACUAACAAUUUUCUCCGUUUAGCACUAGUUAUUCCCAUAUAACUUAUAUCUUCAUUUAGAUACAGUCUUCAAUAUAUCAGGCCUGUGUCUUCAUCUGUGAACUGUAACAAUAACUUACUUUCACUUUCAACAUCACUCAGAUUUAACUUAGUGCUGUUUUCUCUUUCUCAUUUGAGGUUUAAACAGCAGAAACUGAUCGAGAUGGUCACUUGUAGGCGAAGGGAAUGAUGUUUUAUCGUCUUCAUGUGCUUGUGUUGUUGUUUUUACAGGUUUGGACACAGAGCGAGGAGCUAAAAUUACACAGAAAACACUCGACAACAAACUACUGCAAUAUAACUUUACACCAGCGGAACUCACCUGAAUGUCGUUAUAUGUCCACAGACUCAGUUUCUUAAAUACAUAACUUCCAUCAGUCGAAGAAGCGACGUGCUGAUCUUUGAAGCUGAAAUAUUUUAGAGAAAAAGAAAAGGGCUGAAGCAGGACUCUCUGUGUACACUCCCUUCCUGGGUUGCCAGGUCUGCGAAACCAAAAUGUCCCUAUGGGCAAAUCCUCGACCAAAAGUAGCCCAAUCACCACAUCCCAAAUAUAAAACCUUAAAAAAGUGCAAUUCCUAUUCCUAAAAUACAUAUUUUACAGUCAUUGUUAUGCAAACUGAAAAAACACAGUCUCGUAGCGAUCAUAAAC
Molecule: long non-coding RNA, 794 nt
Organism: Cyprinus carpio carpio
Lineage: Eukaryota; Metazoa; Chordata; Actinopteri; Cypriniformes; Cyprinidae
Source: Ensembl